This 253-nucleotide ribosomal RNA is filed under the name uncultured bacterium. Its description in RNAcentral is "partial 16S ribosomal RNA". It matches the Rfam family "Bacterial small subunit ribosomal RNA", at positions 524 to 776 of the family's 1533-position model. The record is from RNAcentral.
UACGAAGGGGGCUAGCGUUGUUCGGAAUUACUGGGCGUAAAGGGCGCGUAGGCGGCCUGUUAAGUCGAACGUGAAAUCCCCGGGCUCAACCCGGGAACUGCGUCCGAUACUGGCAGGCUUGAAUCCGGGAGAGGGAUGUGGAAUUCCAGGUGUAGCGGUGAAAUGCGUAGAUAUCUGGAGGAAUACCGGUGGCGAAGGCGGCAUCCUGGACCGGCAUUGACGCUGAGGAGCGAAAGCCAGGGGAGCAAACGGG